Molecule: ribosomal RNA, 388 nt
Filed under: Ochromonas tuberculata
Lineage: Eukaryota; Chrysophyceae; Chromulinales; Chromulinaceae
Description: partial small subunit ribosomal RNA
Rfam family: Eukaryotic small subunit ribosomal RNA
Source: RNAcentral
GCUUGUCUCAAAGAUUAAGCCAUGCAUGUCUAAGAAUAAGCCCUUGAAUGGUGAAUCUGCGAAUGGCUCAUUAAAUCAGUUAUUGUUUAUUUGAUGGUACCUUACUACUUGGAUAACCGUAGUAAUUCUAGAGCUAAUACAUGCGUCAAGCCCCGACUUCGGAAGGGGUGCAUUUAUUAGAUGGAAACCAAUGCGGGGCAACCCGGUAUAUGGUGAUUCAUAAUAACUUUCGGAUCGAUUUAUCGAUGCAUCAUUCAAGUUUCUGCCCUAUCAGCUUUGGAUGGUAGGGUAUUGGCCUACCAUGGCUUUAACGGGUAACGGAGAAUUAGGGUUCGAUUCCGGAGAGGGAGCCUGAGAAAUGGCUACCACAUCCAAGGAAGGCAGCAGG